CCAGUGUGCACUGGGCAUCAAAAGCGCAGAUAGAGGCAAAACAAUGUCACAAAAAAGGACAUAUCCUUCAGGUGCAGAAAAAAGGAAGAAGAAGAAAGUGGAAGAGGAGAAAAAAUGCCAUGAUAAAGGUAUGUUUGCAUGACUUGGUAAUAAAAAGUUCAUCAAAGAGAUUUGUAGCUGUAAUUAGCUUUAGCUAGGUGACGUUAGCUAGCUAGCGCGGUGCUAGCAAUAUGUUUUUAGCAUCAGGUUACUAGUGAGAUAUGUUGUUUGCACAAAUUGUUUGCAGCAGAGCACGGUAAUUUAUGUGAGUAAAAUAAACAUUAUUUUUUACAUUAACUCAUAAGUCAUGUGAAACUUCCCCAGGAGCAUUGUUCAAAUACUUUGGAGGCACAGAAUCAGCCCAGAGCCAGUCCACAUCCUCAGGCUCAACUGUGAGUGAUGAAUCAGGUCCAUCUCAAUCCUCUACAGUGCUCUCUCACACACCUCCACCCUCUGUGCCCACUGUCCCCUCCAUGUCUGAAACCACAGCUGAUUUAUCUAUCAUUGUCUUUCUUUGGUCACUUCCUCGGCAACUUCCACCACAACGUCCCCUUCACACCAUGGACCAUCAUCAGCUCCGCCAGUUGACCCAGCUGAGUGGCCUUCUUUCCUCUCAGAUUCAGACAGGACUGAGCAGGUGAUCAGAGGACCACUGUCUAUUAAGGAGAACUUUUCAUUCCCCAAACGGCAUGAUGGCUGAAGUUUUCAUUAUCAUUAUACCUACAGACAGCUCGUCAAUGGGGAAAAAGUCAAGCGUAGCUGGCUGACUUAUUCAAGAAGUAAAGAUGCAGUCUAUUGCUUUUGCUGCAAAUUAUUUUCCAAAAAGUCCUUAAAAGUGGCAGCCGAGGGACAGCGGGAUUGGGUCAACAUAGGUGCACUGCUGAAACAGCAUGAAAACAGUGAAGAUCAUUGUAGCAACAUGGUGAAAUGGAAGGAAUUUGCCUUGCGUCUUUCAAAGGGGAAAACUAUUGAUGAAUUUAACUUCAGUAGACUGUGCUCUCUUUGUACAAAGUAAACAUUAAAUAUGAACAAUUAACUAAAAAUACAAACUAGUGAUUAAAGACUAAUAUGUACAAGACUGAUGAGACAAGAUGACACUUUUACUGUAAAUACAAAGCUUUAUCACUUGGACUGUACAACCCCAGGCCACUCUUGUAGCUGAAUGUUUUCUACAUUUUAAGAUUAGGAACCAUAUGUGGCACUCUGGACAUCAUUCGUUCAUUCAUUGGUAUUAUUUAUGUUCUUAACUGGGCCACCCCCAUAUCUUUAUAAAUGACAUGUCAUUUGUAAAGACAUGCCAGGCUGACAAUAGGAUAAUGUAAACAACACUGCCAGAGCCGCAAUGAGUUUAUAGUAGGUGUGUGAUUGAUCAACAAUCAAUAUUAUUGGCAGAAAUAGAGGGCCCCAAAAUCAAAUUUUGCUUAGGGCCCCAUGGAGGCUUGGGCCGGCACUGUAUGUUGGUAACUGGUUAGCUUUUAGCUUUAUAACUCACCUUGCGAGUUGUGAAUGUUCAGCAUCGGAACUUCCUUCUUUCCUUUUGAACAGUCUUCACGAGAAUAUCCAUUUGAGUCCUCGUCGCCACUGUAAUGUUUGUAGUGUACUUUGUUGCUGGUUCAAUAUUGAGGAUUGAUGGAUUUGGAUGCUUUAAUCAUCAACAUCGCUUCCAUGUACCUGUCUCAUGCAUCAGGCGUAACUGUUCUGCCAUUGUCCACUAGUGUUUUGAUACGCUCUAAUAAAAUAUUAUGAUCGACGGUAUCGA
Non-coding RNA from Nerophis lumbriciformis (worm pipefish), 1798 nucleotides. The record is from RefSeq and is a predicted model, not a curated record. NCBI's taxonomy places the organism in Eukaryota, Metazoa, Chordata, Actinopteri, Syngnathiformes, Syngnathidae.